Long non-coding RNA from Phyllostomus discolor (pale spear-nosed bat), 327 nucleotides. RefSeq lists it as uncharacterized. Lineage: Eukaryota; Metazoa; Chordata; Mammalia; Chiroptera; Phyllostomidae. The record is from RefSeq and is a predicted model, not a curated record. The transcript has 3 exons.
CCAAUCAGAACAAGAAGAAGAAAAAAGAAUCCAAAAAAUCAAGGAUAAUGUAAGGAGCCUCAAGGACAACUUCAACUUUUCCAAAAUUCACAUCAUAGGGGUACCAAAAGCAGAAAAGAAAGAGCAAGAAAUCGGAAAUCUAUUUGAAAAAAUAAUGAGAAAGAACUUCCCUAGUUUGGUGUAGGAAAUAGACAUGCAAGUUCAGGAAGCACAGAGAGUCCCAAACAAGAUGGAUGUAAAAAGGCCAACUCCAAGAUGCAUCAUACUUAAAAUACCAAAUGUUAAAGAUAAAGAGAGAAUCCUAAAAGCAGCAGAAGAAAAGCAGAU